RNAcentral lists this ribosomal RNA (253 nucleotides) under uncultured bacterium. RNAcentral's name for it is "partial 16S ribosomal RNA". It matches the Rfam family "Bacterial small subunit ribosomal RNA", at positions 524 to 776 of the family's 1533-position model. The record is from RNAcentral.
UACGGGGGGGGCAAGCGUUGUUCGGAAUUACUGGGCGUAAAGGGCGUGUAGGCGGCCAACUAAGUCCGACGUGAAAUCCCCAGGCUUAACCUGGGAACUGCGUCGGAUACUGGAUGGCUUGAAUCCGGGAGAGGGAUGCAGAAUUCCAGGUGUAGCGGUGAAAUGCGUAGAUAUCAGGAAGAACACCCGUGGCGAAGGCGGUUCUCUGGGACGGUACUGACGCUGAGACGCGAAAGCGUGGGGAGCGAACAGG